AGUCCAUCCCAGUGUGAUGGUGCCGCCCCUCAGGUGAACAAUUACCGGGGUCCCGCCCGGGUCCGGGUGUCGUUGGUGACCAAGGACCCCCCCCACCGCCCCCACCCCCACGAGCUGGUGGGCAAAGACUGUCGGGACGGGUUCUACGAGGCAGAGCUGCCCCCCGAGAGGAGCAUCCACAGUUUCCAGAAUUUGGGGAUCCAGUGUGUGAAGAAGCGGGAGCUGGAGGCGGCCGUGGCCGAGCGGAUCCGCACCAACAACAACCCCUUCAACGUGCCUGCGGAGCAGCGGGGGGGUGAAUACGACCUGGCCGCCGUCCGGCUCUGCUUCCAGGUGUGGGUGAGGGGCCCGGGGGGGCUGCGGCCCCUCCCCCCCCCGUCCUGUCCCACCCCGUCUACGACA
Corapipo altera (White-ruffed manakin) is the source of this 402-nucleotide long non-coding RNA. RefSeq lists it as uncharacterized. Lineage: Eukaryota; Metazoa; Chordata; Aves; Passeriformes; Pipridae. The record is from RefSeq and is a predicted model, not a curated record. The transcript is spliced from 3 exons.